RNAcentral lists this ribosomal RNA (177 nucleotides) under Torrentaria fuegiana. RNAcentral's name for it is "partial 18S ribosomal RNA". It matches the Rfam family "Eukaryotic small subunit ribosomal RNA". The record is from RNAcentral. Lineage: Eukaryota; Viridiplantae; Streptophyta; Bryopsida; Hypnales; Brachytheciaceae.
UUGUACACACCCGCCCGUCGCUCUUACCGAUUGAAUGGUCCGGUGAAGUUUUCGGAUCGCGGCGACGCCGGCGKUUCGCCGCCGGUGACGUUGUGAGAAGUUCAUUAAACCUUAUCAUUUAGAGGAAGGAGAAGUCGUAACAAGGUUUCCGUAGGUGAACCUGCGGAAGGAUCAUUG